CCGAGCCUCUAUUUCAUCGAAAGGUAUACUUUUAUCUACUUCUUCAAUCUCCAGACAGGCCUAACGAUCAGUCACUCGACCCUUGUUUGGUUUGCUGGAAAUUGCAGGAAAAGUGGAACUUUUAUUUAUUUAUUUUUAAUUAUUACGUUGUUUUCACUUCGUAAAUGUGUUUUCUUUGUUACGACUCGGUUAAAUUUAUUCAGGAUUCAGCUGAGUGAUAAAUAAAUAAACGCGUGAUGUGAACUUUUUCUUAUUUAGUUAUUUUUCUUCUAUUAAAAUUUGGAAGAUGAUGAGCUUUGGUUUGAUCGUUAAAUUUAAGGCCCUUCUUUGUGCAAUAUAUCAAUGGUUUCAGGGAAAAUGAGUAGCCGCGCUAG
RNAcentral lists this unclassified non-coding RNA (374 nucleotides) under Hevea brasiliensis (rubber tree). Lineage: Eukaryota; Viridiplantae; Streptophyta; Magnoliopsida; Malpighiales; Euphorbiaceae. The record is from RNAcentral.